Molecule: long non-coding RNA, 305 nt
Organism: Zophobas morio
Lineage: Eukaryota; Metazoa; Arthropoda; Insecta; Coleoptera; Tenebrionidae
Exons: 3
Source: RefSeq, a predicted model, not a curated record
CUUGUACCUGUUCCCUAUAAAAGGCAAAAUGCCUUCAUUGGCAAUCCCACAGUAGGGGAUGAACUAAUUACCUAUGAUUUUGACCUAAAAAAAUGUUUAAAGAAAAGUGUUAAGGGACGUCAGUUGUUGCAAACAAAGUCUUCUGAAACGUCAUUAACACCUACCUUACAGAACAAUCUAGUAUCAAUCAUUAUUGAAGAAGAACUGCGAACCCGUUUGGACAAAAGAAUUCCUUCAAGACGGUUUAUUCAGCUCGCACGCUAUAUUAAACAGUUAUUUCCAAAGGAAAGAAUUGAAACAUAUUA